AACGAACGCUGGCGGCAUGCCUAACACAUGCAAGUCGAACGAGACCUUCGGGUCUAGUGGCGCACGGGUGCGUAACGCGUGGGAACCUGCCCUUAGGUUCGGAAUAACUCCCCGAAAGGGGUGCUAAUACCGGAUAAUGUCUUCGGACCAAAGAUUUAUCGCCUUUGGAUGGGCCCGCGUUGGAUUAGCUAGUUGGUAGGGUAAAAGCCUACCAAGGCGACGAUCCAUAGCUGGUCUGAGAGGAUGAUCAGCCACACUGGGACUGAGACACGGCCCAGACUCCUACGGAAGGCAGCAGUGGGGAAUAUUGGACAAUGGGCGAAAGACUGAUCCAGCAAUGCCGCGUGAGUGAUGAAGGCCUUAGGGUUGUAAAGCUCUUUUAACCGGGAUGAUAAUGACAGUACCGGGAGAAUAAGCGCCGGCUAACUCCGUG
Molecule: ribosomal RNA, 433 nt
Filed under: uncultured bacterium
Lineage: Bacteria
Description: partial 16S ribosomal RNA
Rfam family: Bacterial small subunit ribosomal RNA
Source: RNAcentral